UUUAUGGAGAGUUUGAUCCUGGCUCAGGAUGAACGCUGGCGGCGUGCCUAAUACAUGCAAGUCGAGCGAACGGACGAGAAGCUUGCUUCUCUGAUGUUAGCGGCGGACGGGUGAGUAACACGUGGAUAACCUACCUAUAAGACUGGGAUAACUUCGGGAAACCGGAGCUAAUACCGGAUAAUAUUUUGAACCGCAUGGUUCAAAAGUGAAAGACGGUCUUGCUGUCACUUAUAGAUGGAUCCGCGCUGCAUUAGCUAGUUGGUAAGGUAACGGCUUACCAAGGCAACGAUGCAUAGCCGACCUGAGAGGGUGAUCGGCCACACUGGAACUGAGACACGGUCCAGACUCCUACGGGAGGCAGCAGUAGGGAAUCUUCCGCAAUGGGCGAAAGCCUGACGGAGCAACGCCGCGUGAGUGAUGAAGGUCUUCGGAUCGUAAAACUCUGUUAUUAGGGAAGAACAUAUGUGUAAGUAACUGUGCACAUCUUGACGGUACCUAAUCAGAAAGCCACGGCUAACUACGUGCCAGCAGCCGCGGUAAUACGUAGGUGGCAAGCGUUAUCCGGAAUUAUUGGGCGUAAAGCGCGCGUAGGCGGUUUUUUAAGUCUGAUGUGAAAGCCCACGGCUCAACCGUGGAGGGUCAUUGGAAACUGGAAAACUUGAGUGCAGAAGAGGAAAGUGGAAUUCCAUGUGUAGCGGUGAAAUGCGCAGAGAUAUGGAGGAACACCAGUGGCGAAGGCGACUUUCUGGUCUGUAACUGACGCUGAUGUGCGAAAGCGUGGGGAUCAAACAGGAUUAGAUACCCUGGUAGUCCACGCCGUAAACGAUGAGUGCUAAGUGUUAGGGGGUUUCCGCCCCUUAGUGCUGCAGCUAACGCAUUAAGC
Molecule: ribosomal RNA, 883 nt
Filed under: Staphylococcus aureus
Lineage: Bacteria; Bacillati; Bacillota; Bacilli; Caryophanales; Staphylococcaceae
Description: bacterial SSU rRNA
Rfam family: Bacterial small subunit ribosomal RNA
Source: RNAcentral